AAUGAAGCGCCAUGGAGGGUGAGAGCCCCGUCCAUCCCGCACAGGAUCCAUUCGUACAAGGACGCUUCAACCGAGUCGGGUAGCUUGGGAAUGCUGCUCUAAUUGGUGGUAAAUCUCAUCAAAGGCUAAAUAGUGGUGGGAGACCGAUAGCGAACAAGUACCGUGAGGGAAAGAUGGAAAGAACUUUGAAAAGAGAGUGAAAAGCACUUGAAACCGUCACGGGGGAAGCGGAUUGCGUGAGUGAUGGUGUCGCUUGUUCAGCGCUUUAUUGCGUGCAUUCUGGCGGCGCCGUGCCGGCGUGGCUGGCUGGACUGUGAUUUUGACAGUCUCGGCUGGUGAGGGCUCCCUCGUAUGAGGUGAGGACGCGGGCAAAAUGACGCAAUACGACCCGUCUUGAAACACGGACCAAGGAGUCUAGCACGGCUGCGAGUCGAAGAGUGAUUAAACUCAAGGGCGCAGUGAAAGCGAAAUUAUAAGCAAAUUGGGGAGGCGUUGCGUUUUUAACAAAAUGUCCUACCUCGAGCAUUUGUGCUGGGACCCGAAAGAUGGUGAACUAUGCCGGAGUAGGGCAAAGCCAGAGGAAACUCUGGUGGAGGCUCGUAGCGAUGCUGACGUGCAAAUCGCUCGUCGAACUUGGGUAUAGGGGCGAAAGACUAAUCGAACCAUCUAGUAGCUGGUUCCCUCCGAAGUUUCUCUCAGGAUAGCGGGCCGACACGCGUUUGUUGUUUUGUGCGGUAAAGCGAAUGAUUAGUGCAUUUGGGGUACGAAGUACUUCGGGCGAUUCUCAAACUUUAAAUGCGCAAGGGGGUGGCUGCUUAAUUGAGCCUACUCUUUGAAAAACGUCGGCCCUGUGGGCCACUUUUGGUAAGCAGAACUGGCGAUAAGGGAUGAACCUUAAGCGCGGUUA
This 907-nucleotide ribosomal RNA is filed under the name Osmundea pinnatifida. RNAcentral's name for it is "eukaryotic LSU rRNA". It matches the Rfam family "Eukaryotic large subunit ribosomal RNA", at positions 194 to 1182 of the family's 3401-position model. Lineage: Eukaryota; Rhodophyta; Florideophyceae; Ceramiales; Rhodomelaceae. The record is from RNAcentral.